Molecule: long non-coding RNA, 954 nt
Organism: Poecilia latipinna (sailfin molly)
Lineage: Eukaryota; Metazoa; Chordata; Actinopteri; Cyprinodontiformes; Poeciliidae
Exons: 2
Source: RefSeq, a predicted model, not a curated record
CUGGGAAUGUUCCUGAUGAACAGACUUGGACACCAGCUGGUUGUCGUUCUCAGCAGCAGGAUGAUCAACGGGAUUAGGCUGACUGGUUUUCUCACCUUUGGAUGGAUUUGCUGAAUGUCUUGAAAGACGGUCAAGAGGAGUCACAACAACCAGAGCGUCCUAUUUAUCUGAUGAUGAGCAAUUGCUAAGGUGAAACGCACACUGUUGAAGUAAAAGGUGGUGCAACAUAACAGGCAUGCAGAAGUAGGUGUAGCUUCUUUUAAAAUAACUUCAACAAACAUCCUGCGGCCAAGUGCAGAUUUGUAAAGAGAGGUGUAGACUGACCUUAGUUUACCUUUUGUUUUUUCUUGGCAUUUUGUAUGGGGAGAAAAGAUCUUGAACACAUUUUUUAGAGUGGCAAAGUAAUUAGACACAUUUUAACCUUGUUACAUGUUGGAUGCAAUUAAAAAAACAGGACAAGGAGAUAAAAAUCAAUAAAAGACAAUUUAUUUAAAGACAUUUACACUUAAUCAGGCUUCCCACAGAUGAUUUAAGGAUUAGGCCAAUUGGGACAGGAAUGAGUUAGAAAACAGAACUAAAAGUGUAAAGAAAGUUCUCACUAUAAGAGUUUAGAUCGAGCCUUCGAAAAUUCAGCAUGGUCCAAGCCCAAAGUAAAACCCUACAUAUUAUUGAAAAGUCAGACUUCUAUCUAGCAGUUGAACUUUUUUUCCCUUUUGUUUAACGUCUUCUAACUCUGUUUUGUUGGUCCUGAUCAAUGUCAUUGAUAAUACAACUUCCCAUGUUUUGUGAUCAUUAAGCUUUCUUUCAUUUAGUGUUCUUUUCAAUAUAUUCAUUUUCAGAGGACCCACGUGUUCUGAACGCAAAAAGAGUGGGUGUAAUACUUGCAUCUGGCCACUUGAUGGUGACAUUCAGCCAUAUUGUUGAAUGUCAGAUAAAGGAAUUUCCUUUUUUUUU